Long non-coding RNA from Panicum virgatum (switchgrass), 989 nucleotides. RefSeq lists it as uncharacterized. The record is from RefSeq and is a predicted model, not a curated record. NCBI's taxonomy places the organism in Eukaryota, Viridiplantae, Streptophyta, Magnoliopsida, Poales, Poaceae. The transcript is spliced from 3 exons.
GGCGCCCCUGCGCCCCUACGCCAGAUCGUCGCCACCUGUCCCCGCUCAGUAUCGGAAGGCCGCACUGCGCCUGCUCCAGCUCGCCACCCGUGCAGGCCGCCCGCUCGGCUCCUUUGCUGCUCAAGCGCCAGCUCCAAUCACGCUCGGCUCCGCUCCAGUCUAUCCCGCCAGGAGGCCCCCGCUCGCUCGCUCGUCUCCUUCGAUAAAAGUCUCCAAUCGCAAGGAGGAAACCCUAGCGCGCUGAUAACGAGCGAACGCGUUGGGUGCCGUCACCAUCGCCGGUCAAGCACGAGGGCUCCCGCCGCAAGGCCUCCCGGCGCGACCCCGACAGCGUCACCAUCUCCGCCAUCAUCCCGGAGCUGCGCCUCCUCGUCGCGGGCGUCGCAUCGUCGUCCCCUGGUACCUUGUCGUCUUCUACCACGAUGAAGAACACCAUGUCGGUUCCUAGAUCAGUGGAGAAUGAAGGUCCUAUUGAGGAAAUGGUUGAUAAAUCUGGAUAAAAUUUGAUGACACCUAUAGUUGGAAUGACUUUUGAAUCCGAGGAAAAGGCUUAUGAGAUGUACAAUACUUAUGCCGGACAGGUUGGGUUCAGUAUUAGAAAGAGCAAGACAAAGCGCCGCCAAGAUGUGGUAGUUUAUAUCAGAAACAUCUAGUAUGCAGUAGCCAAGGACAUCGAGAAAAUGAGUCAUCACAAAAAGGAUAUUACAAGGAGGGGUUGUGAUGCUCGUGUUCAGUUUAGUAUCAGCAGAGAAGGUAUUUGGACAGUGCAAAAGGUCGAACUAGAGCACAACCAUUAUCUUGCUAGUCCAAAUAAGCGAUGAAUCUAUGUAACUGUGCUCUUUUGCUAUUAAGGGACCUUAGGAAAUAAGCAUGUUCUUUUGUCCCCAUGAAUGGUAUUAUAGAAUUGUGUCAGUUCCAAAAAGUUUGAAUCUGUUGGAAGUAUAACUGUGCUCUUCUAAUGUUAAGGAACCUGUCAUUUGAGUGAACCA